This 1274-nucleotide long non-coding RNA is filed under the name Olea europaea subsp. europaea. The record is from RNAcentral. Lineage: Eukaryota; Viridiplantae; Streptophyta; Magnoliopsida; Lamiales; Oleaceae.
AUUCAAGGAUGACUGAAUGCAAUGAUAUUUAAUAGCGGAUUAUAUUGAUAUUGAGUGAAUGCAACGAGGUCACGGUGUCCGAACUUUUUUUCUUUUAAACAAUACUGUGAUUUUUUAAAAAUGGCUCUAGAACUAUUUGAGGCUGGAGCGGGCCAUGGAUUUUUUGGCCUUCUAUGUAGCAAGCAAUAUCUGGAAAGAAUAUUAAUAAAAAAACAAAUUCUUUGCUGUUUCACAUAAAUUGAGGAGAAACAGGGUACAAAUUAAAUGUUUCCUGUAUUAAACAACCCCAUCAAUUAUUUAGGUUGUCCCAUUUAUACUGGAAACAAAAAGGCUAUGUUUUUGAACAUGUAGCUAGUUGAAAUGAGGGGGAAGAUCUCCAGACAGUCUAAUAGCUUGUCUCACCUGGUGGCAAUAUAAUUUUGGUGGAACUUGUCUCAUCUCUAUGUCUAUGCAUCUCCCGUCAAAUGCUGCAACCAAUUCAGUGUGUUAUAAUGGUAGAGCUGAGAACUUAUUUUCAUAAUUUUUUUGUGGGAGGAUAAAUGGUGCUUGGCUUUAGAAGAUUUGAGGGAUUUGAAGGAGGAUGGAGUGUUUAAGGUGUUGUUGAAAGUCAGAAGUUAGAACCUGUAAAUGUCAAUGCUGUGGAGAUUUAAAAACAUUUCUUUAAAUGAGGUCAACUUGUAUUCACGAUUUGAAUUGUUUUGGCAGUUGUACUGGAACUCACUGUCCCAGUUACACAUAGACGUUGCAUCACAGCUAUUCUUGCCAGCUUGUUUGUUGGAAAAUUUUGUUAUAACCUCUGGUACCUGAUUAAGAGUGGUUGAGCUUCCACGGAAAAUUUAAUUUUGCUACUCGUGUGAUUAGGCUGAAUGGCGAACUGGUUCUGUAAAAGUCUUGGUUGCUUUUUGCUGUUUUCAGCGAAUUCUUGCAUCUCUUCAUAAGACCACUUAUGUAUGACGGGAGGCUCUGUUAUCUUGAACUUAGAGCACGAUUAAUGAGUCUUCCAACUAUAUAAUUUCCUUGUAUGUAUUAAGUGUUUUGGAUCUAUAGAAUAUAGACUGUCAAAUGUUUGAUGGGUGAAGCCUUUUGUUCAUGUCUUUGGAAGUUGAAACUGAUGGAGUUAUGGAAUCCAGGACAAGUUCUGGCAAAUUAGAGACCAUAUAUCUCCUUGUAUUCUAGGUCAAAAGAAUGACACAAUAGCAUUCGGUUUUAGAGUAAACAAAUGAAAUUCUCUCAAGCAAAAAGUUCAUUCCUCUGGGUUUUCUUGGCAAAGACGA